AUGGCUGUCGUCAGCUCGUGUCGUGAGAUGUUGGGUUAAGUCCCGUAACGAGCGCAACCCUUAUCCUUAUUUGCCAGCACGUAAUGGUGGGAACUCUAAGGAGACUGCCGGUGACAAACCGGAGGAAGGAGAGGAUGACGUCAAGUCAUCAUGGCCCUUACGGCCUGGGCUACACACGUGCUACAAUGGAAAGUACAGAGGGCCGCAAUGCCGCGAGGUGGAGCAAAUCCCAGAAAACUUUUCGUAGUCCGGAUCGGAGUCUGCAACUCGACUCCGUGAAGUCGGAAUCGCUAGUAAUCGCGAAUCAGCAUGUCGCGGUGAAUACGUUCCCGGGCCUUGUACACACCGCCCGUCACAUCAUGGGAGUGGGUUGCACCAGAAGUAACUAGUUUAACCUUCGGGAGAACGGUUACCACGGUGUGAUUCAUGACUGGGAUGAAGUCGUAACAAGGUAGCCGUAGGGGAACCUGCGGCUGGAUCACCUCCUUAACCUAAAGCAUCUACUGCAAGCACUCACAACCUAUUGUUUGAUUCCACGUCAUUAGCGGCUCGUUAGUUGCUGUUGGCGCCUGUGCAUAGACAUCAGAAGUCAGAAGACUCUGAGAUUGAGAUUAAGUAGUACUCAAGUUGUUCUCAAAAGUCUUCUGACUUCUGGCGCUCUAGCCAGAGAAACUCUGUUGGCAGUCCCAACAGGUGUUCUUUAAAAAAGUGUAUAAGUGAUAAAGCAAUUUUCCUUUGGAAAAUUGUCCCGAGUCAAACCGAGGGACCUCAAUUUGGGGUUGCCAGGAUAAGCUUGCGGGCAACAGACCUAAGGGAAAUAUGUAGUCUGUAACAGAAGAUGUUGUGAUGACAUCAGCUGUUUACAAAAUUUGACAUCCGCAAAUGAGUCAGCGAACGCAAGUUCAAUGACCAGGACAAGACCUUUUGCCAGGUCGAGUCUUGUUAAGAGAUGUUCUUUAAUAUCAGCAGUGUUAAUUCAAACGCGCACUGGUGGUAUUUCAAAGGGAACUGAUCUUCAUUUGUUUUUUUAAAUUCAAGAUCAUGUUGAAGACAAGAAACUUCGGUUUCCAGUCAGAAAAGUGGUCGAGAGUUCGUAUAUUUCAAGCGUAUUAUCCGGUGAUAAACCAAUAGCUUCGAGCAGUCUCUGCUUCACAAAAGGUGAGAGGCAUUUAGUUUCCUGAAUAACACUCCGUUAUCCAGGUCGUUCAAGUUAUAUGGUCAAGCGAAUAAGCGUAUAUGGUGGAUGCCUAGGCAGUUAGAGGCGAUGAAGGACGUUGUAGUCUGCGAUAAGCUCGGGCGAGCUGACAAACAAGCAUUUGUAACCCGAGAUUUCCGAAUGGGGAAACCCGG
This 1350-nucleotide small RNA is filed under the name uncultured bacterium. Its description in RNAcentral is "bacterial SSU rRNA". The stretch from base 1 to 489 matches the Rfam family "Bacterial small subunit ribosomal RNA", at positions 1045 to 1533 of the family's 1533-position model. The record is from RNAcentral.